This 506-nucleotide ribosomal RNA is filed under the name uncultured bacterium. RNAcentral's name for it is "partial 16S ribosomal RNA". It matches the Rfam family "Bacterial small subunit ribosomal RNA", at positions 29 to 523 of the family's 1533-position model. The record is from RNAcentral.
AGUGGACGCUGGCGGUAGGCCUAACACAUGCGAGUCGAGCGGCAGCACAGGAGAGCUUGCUCUCUGGGUGGCGAGUGGCGGACGGGUGAGGAAUACAUCGGAAUCUACUCUGUCGUGGGGGAUAACGUAGGGAAACUUACGCUAAUACCGCAUACGGCCUACGGGUGAAAGCAGGGGACCUUCGGGCCUUGCGCGAUUGAAUGAGCCGAUGUCGGAUUAGCUAGUUGGCGGGGUAAAGGCCCACCAAGGCGACGAUCCGUAGCUGGUCUGAGAGGAUGAUCAGCCACACUGGAACUGAGACACGGUCCAGACUCCUACGGGAGGCAGCAGUGGGGAAUAUUGGACAAUGGGCGCAAGCCUGAUCCAGCCAUACCGCGUGGGUGAAGAAGGCCUUCGGGUUGUAAAGCCCUUUUGUUGGGAAAGAAAUCCAGCUGGCUAAUACCCGGUUGGGAUGACGGUACCCAAAGAAUAAGCACCGGCUAACUUCGUGCCAGCCGCCGCCGUAA